GUGCCCACUUUGGCAGUACAUAUACUAAAACUUGAAUGAUGCAAAGAUUAUCAUGGCUCCUGCACAAGAAUGACAUGUAAAAUCAUGAAGUGUUCCAUAGUUUU
Peromyscus maniculatus bairdii (prairie deer mouse) is the source of this 104-nucleotide small nuclear RNA. The record is from Ensembl. Lineage: Eukaryota; Metazoa; Chordata; Mammalia; Rodentia; Cricetidae.